RNAcentral lists this ribosomal RNA (521 nucleotides) under uncultured bacterium. RNAcentral describes it as "bacterial SSU rRNA". It matches the Rfam family "Bacterial small subunit ribosomal RNA", at positions 28 to 526 of the family's 1533-position model. The record is from RNAcentral.
GAUAAACGCUGGCGGCGUGCCUAAUACAUGCAAGUCGAGCGAACGGAAGAAGCGUCUUCGGACGAAUUGGAAGUGAGCGGCGAACGGGUGAGUAACACGUAGGUAACCUGCCCUUGAGAUAGGGAUAACAGUUGGAAACGACUGCUAAUACCGAAUAGGAACAGAUGAGGCAUCUCAUCGGUUUAAAAGGAACUUUCGGGCUUCGCUUGAGGAUGGACCUGCGGCGCAUUAGCUAGUUGGUGGGGUAACGGCCUACCAAGGCGACGAUGCGUAGCCGACCUGAGAGGGUGAUCGGCCACACUGGGACUGAGACACGGCCCAGACUCCUACGGGAGGCAGCAGUAGGGAAUUUUCCACAAUGGACGCAAGUCUGAUGGAGCAACGCCGCGUGUGCGAAGAAGGCCUUCGGGUUGUAAAGCACUGUUGUAAGGGAAGAAUGGAUAGGAGAGGAAAUGCUCUUAUUAUGACGGUACCUUACCAGAAAGCCACGGCUAACUACGUGCCAGCCGCCGCGGUAACAC